UGGGGAAUUUUCCGCAAUGGGCGAAAGCCUGACGGAGCAAGACCGCGUGAGGGAAGACGGCCUACUGGUUGUAAACCUCUUUUGAUAGCGAAGAACACAAUGACGGUACCUAUCGAAUCAGCCUCGGCUAACUCCGUGCCAGCAGCCGCGGUAAUACGGAGGAGGCAAGCGUUAUCCGGAAUUAUUGGGCGUAAAGCGUCCGUAGGUGGAUAUUCAAGUCAGUCGUUAAAGCGUGGAGCUUAACUCCAUAAAGGCAAUUGAAACUGAAUGUCUAGAGUGCGAUAGGGGCAAGGGGAAUUCCCAGUGUAGCGGGGAAAUGCGUAGAUAUUGGGAAG
This 335-nucleotide ribosomal RNA is filed under the name Leptolyngbya sp. K112. RNAcentral describes it as "bacterial SSU rRNA". It matches the Rfam family "Bacterial small subunit ribosomal RNA", at positions 355 to 704 of the family's 1533-position model. The record is from RNAcentral. Lineage: Bacteria; Bacillati; Cyanobacteriota; Cyanophyceae; Leptolyngbyales; Leptolyngbyaceae.